CCCUUAGAUGUUCUGGGCCGCACGCGCGCUACACUGAUGCAUUCAACAAGCCUAGCCUUGACCGAGAGGUCCGGGUAAUCUUUGAAACUGCAUCGUGAUGGGGCUAGAUUAUCGCAAUUAUUAAUCUUCAACGAGGAAUGCCUAGUAAGCGUGAUUCAUCAAAUCGCGUUGAUUACGUCCCUGCCCUUUGUACACACCGCCCGUCGCUCCUACCGAUUGAAUGUGUUGGUGAGGAGCUCGGAUUGGCAGCAGUUGGUGGUUCGCCACCGGCUAUUGCUGAGAAGUCCUCCAAACCGCCCCAUUUAGAGGAAGGAGAAGUCGUAACA
RNAcentral lists this ribosomal RNA (326 nucleotides) under uncultured eukaryote. RNAcentral describes it as "partial 18S ribosomal RNA". It matches the Rfam family "Eukaryotic small subunit ribosomal RNA", at positions 1470 to 1796 of the family's 1831-position model. The record is from RNAcentral.